UGCCAGUAGUCAUAUGCUUGUCUCAAAGAUUAAGCCAUGCAUGUCUAAGUACAUGCCGUAUUAAGGCGAAACCGCGAAUGGCUCAUUAAAUCAGUUACGGUUCCUUAGAUGUUGACCUAACCUGCAUGGAUAACUGUGGUAAUUCUAGAGCUAAUACAUGCACAGAAGCUUCGACCCUCGAUGGAAGGAGCGCAUUUAUUAGAACAAGACCAAUGGGGCGACCCUCACCGGCCGUCCUUCCAAUUGGUGACUCUGAAUAACUUUUGCUAAUCGCAUGGCCUCCCGUGCCGGCGAUGAAUCUUUCAAGUGUCUGCCUUAUCAACUGUCGAUGGUAGGUUAUGCGCCUACCAUGGUUGUAACGGGUAACGGGGAAUCAGGGUUCGAUUCCGGAGAGGGAGCCUGAGAAACGGCUACCACAUCCAAGGAAGGCAGCAGGCACGCAAAUUACCCAAUCCCAGAACGGGGAGGUAGUGACGAAAAAUAACAAUGCAGAACUCUAAUGAGGCUCUGCAAUUGGAAUGAGAACAAUCUAAAUCCUUUAGCGAGGAUCUAUUGGAGGACAAGUCUGGU
RNAcentral lists this ribosomal RNA (570 nucleotides) under Arthropoda environmental sample. RNAcentral's name for it is "SSU rRNA". It matches the Rfam family "Eukaryotic small subunit ribosomal RNA", at positions 15 to 565 of the family's 1831-position model. Lineage: Eukaryota; Metazoa; Arthropoda. The record is from RNAcentral.